RNAcentral lists this ribosomal RNA (1851 nucleotides) under Staphylococcus aureus. RNAcentral's name for it is "bacterial LSU rRNA". It matches the Rfam family "Bacterial large subunit ribosomal RNA", at positions 1072 to 2925 of the family's 2925-position model. The record is from RNAcentral. Lineage: Bacteria; Bacillati; Bacillota; Bacilli; Caryophanales; Staphylococcaceae.
GAUGUGGCGUUGCCCAGACAACUAGGAUGUUGGCUUAGAAGCAGCCAUCAUUUAAAGAGUGCGUAAUAGCUCACUAGUCGAGUGACACUGCGCCGAAAAUGUACCGGGGCUAAACAUAUUACCGAAGCUGUGGAUUGUCCUUUGGACAAUGGUAGGAGAGCGUUCUAAGGGCGUUGAAGCAUGAUCGUAAGGACAUGUGGAGCGCUUAGAAGUGAGAAUGCCUGUGUGAGUAGCGAAAGACGGGUGAGAAUCCCGUCCACCGAUUGACUAAGGUUUCCAGAGGAAGGCUCGUCCGCUCUGGGUUAGUCGGGUCCUAAGCUGAGGCCGACAGGCGUAGGCGAUGGAUAACAGGUUGAUAUUCCUGUACCACCUAUAAUCGUUUUAAUCGAUGGGGGGACGCAGUAGGAUAGGCGAAGCGUGCGAUUGGAUUGCACGUCUAAGCAGUAAGGCUGAGUAUUAGGCAAAUCCGGUACUCGUUAAGGCUGAGCUGUGAUGGGGAGAAGACAUUGUGUCUUCGAGUCGUUGAUUUCACACUGCCGAGAAAAGCCUCUAGAUAGAAAAUAGGUGCCCGUACCGCAAACCGACACAGGUAGUCAAGAUGAGAAUUCUAAGGUGAGCGAGCGAACUCUCGUUAAGGAACUCGGCAAAAUGACCCCGUAACUUCGGGAGAAGGGGUGCUCUUUAGGGUUAACGCCCAGAAGAGCCGCAGUGAAUAGGCCCAAGCGACUGUUUAUCAAAAACACAGGUCUCUGCUAAACCGUAAGGUGAUGUAUAGGGGCUGACGCCUGCCCGGUGCUGGAAGGUUAAGAGGAGUGGUUAGCUUCUGCGAAGCUACGAAUCGAAGCCCCAGUAAACGGCGGCCGUAACUAUAACGGUCCUAAGGUAGCGAAAUUCCUUGUCGGGUAAGUUCCGACCCGCACGAAAGGCGUAACGAUUUGGGCACUGUCUCAACGAGAGACUCGGUGAAAUCAUAGUACCUGUGAAGAUGCAGGUUACCCGCGACAGGACGGAAAGACCCCGUGGAGCUUUACUGUAGCCUGAUAUUGAAAUUCGGCACAGCUUGUACAGGAUAGGUAGGAGCCUUUGAAACGUGAGCGCUAGCUUACGUGGAGGCGCUGGUGGGAUACUACCCUAGCUGUGUUGGCUUUCUAACCCGCACCACUUAUCGUGGUGGGAGACAGUGUCAGGCGGGCAGUUUGACUGGGGCGGUCGCCUCCUAAAAGGUAACGGAGGCGCUCAAAGGUUCCCUCAGAAUGGUUGGAAAUCAUUCAUAGAGUGUAAAGGCAUAAGGGAGCUUGACUGCGAGACCUACAAGUCGAGCAGGGUCGAAAGACGGACUUAGUGAUCCGGUGGUUCCGCAUGGAAGGGCCAUCGCUCAACGGAUAAAAGCUACCCCGGGGAUAACAGGCUUAUCUCCCCCAAGAGUUCACAUCGACGGGGAGGUUUGGCACCUCGAUGUCGGCUCAUCGCAUCCUGGGGCUGUAGUCGGUCCCAAGGGUUGGGCUGUUCGCCCAUUAAAGCGGUACGCGAGCUGGGUUCAGAACGUCGUGAGACAGUUCGGUCCCUAUCCGUCGUGGGCGUAGGAAAUUUGAGAGGAGCUGUCCUUAGUACGAGAGGACCGGGAUGGACAUACCUCUGGUGUACCAGUUGUCGUGCCAACGGCAUAGCUGGGUAGCUAUGUGUGGACGGGAUAAGUGCUGAAAGCAUCUAAGCAUGAAGCCCCCCUCAAGAUGAGAUUUCCCAACUUCGGUUAUAAGAUCCCUCAAAGAUGAUGAGGUUAAUAGGUUCGAGGUGGAAGCAUGGUGACAUGUGGAGCUGACGAAUACUAAUCGAUCGAAGACUUAAUCAAAA